This 62-nucleotide transfer RNA is filed under the name Pseudocellus gertschi. RNAcentral describes it as "tRNA-Trp". The record is from RNAcentral. Lineage: Eukaryota; Metazoa; Arthropoda; Arachnida; Ricinulei; Ricinoididae.
AAAGCUUUAAGUUAAAUAAACUAAUAACCUUCAAAGUUAUAAAUAAUACCAAUUAAGCUUUG